GCCAAACAGCUAGCUUACUCCCCAAAAAUUAAAUAACAACAUUUACAUGUUUUAAUUAACCCAACUAAACACAACCAAACCAUUUUCCUGUCUUAGUACGGGCGACGGAAAAGACACUACCAACUAAGCGAUAGAAAAAGUACCGCAUGGGAAAGCUGAAAAAGAAAUGAAACAACUCAUUUAAGCCUAACAAAGCAGAGAUUUACCCUCGUACCUUUUGCAUCAUGAUUUAGCUAGCACCUUUGAGCAAAGAGCCCUUUAGUUCAAAACCCCGAAACCAAGUGAGCUACCCCGAGACAGCCUAUACUUUAGGGCCAACCCGUCUCUGUGGCAAAAGAGUGGGAAGAUCUCUGGGUAGGGGUGACAGACCUACCGAACUUGGUGAUAGCUGGUUGCCUAGGAAAUGGAUAGAAGUUCAGCCUCAUGCUCCCCAACUCACAAAGGUACCACCACCUCACGAGCCUGAGAAACACAUGAGAGUUAGUCAAAAGGGGUACAGCCCUUUUGAAAAAGGAUACAACCUUUUAAGGAGGUUAAGGAUCACACUAAAAAAGACUACUGCUCCAGUGGGCCUAAAAGCAGCCACCUGAACAGAAAGCGUUAAAGCUCAGGCAGACCUAAUAUCUUUUAUUCUGAUAUAACAUCCAAAACCCCUAAACCUACUAGGCCCUUCCAUGCGUCCAUGGAAGCGACCCUGCUAAAAUGAGUAACAAGAAAGAAACCCUUUCUCCUGGCCCAUGUGUAAGCUAGAUCGGACCCACCACUAGCAAUCAACGAACCCAACCAAAGAGGGCAAUGUAGCUCACAAAAAAGACAAGAAAACCCUACAUUCAACCCCAUCGUUAACCCCACACUGGAGGGCCCCAUAGGAAAGACUCAAAGAAGAGGAAGGAACUCGGCAAACACAAGCCUCGCCUGUUUACCAAAAACAUCGCCUCCCGCAAAAAUCAAUGUAUAGGAGGUCCUGCCUGCCCAGUGACCAAGUUAAACGGCCGCGGUAUCUUGACCGUGCAAAGGUAGCGCAAUCACUUGUCUUUUAAAUGAAGACCUGUAUGAAUGGCAAGACGAGGGCUUAACUGUCUCCCCCUUCUAGUCAGUGAAAUUGAUCUGCCCGUGCAGAAGCGGACAUAAAUAUACAAGACGAGAAGACCCUUUGGAGCUUAAGACACCAGGACCACCUACGUCAAAAACUUAGCCCAAACUAAUCUAAACAAAGUAACAUCUGGUCCCCGUCUUCGGUUGGGGCGACCGCGGGGGAAAACAAAGCCCCCACGUGGAAUGGGAAAUAUCCUAAAACCGAGAGAGACAUCUCCAAGAAACAGAACAUCUGACCAAAAAGAUCCGGCUACUACAGCCGAUCAACGGACCAAGUUACCCUAGGGAUAACAGCGCAAUCCUCUUCCAGAGUCCAUAUCGACAAGGGGGUUUACGACCUCGAUGUUGGAUCAGGACAUCCUAAUGGUGCAGCCGCUAUUAAGGGUUCGUUUGUUCAACGAUUAAAGUCCUACGUGAUCUGAGUUCAGACCGGAGCAAUCCAGGUCAGUUUCUAUCUGUAAUGCCGUUUUUUCUAGUACGAAAGGACCGAAAAAACAGGGCCCAUAUUAUAAACACGCCCUACUCCCACUUGAUGAAGACAACUCAAUCAAACAAGGGAAAGCACAUCCCGACUCAAGAUAAGAGUUC
This 1683-nucleotide ribosomal RNA is filed under the name Citharinus gibbosus. RNAcentral describes it as "16S ribosomal RNA". It matches the Rfam family "Bacterial large subunit ribosomal RNA". Lineage: Eukaryota; Metazoa; Chordata; Actinopteri; Characiformes; Citharinidae. The record is from RNAcentral.